This 433-nucleotide ribosomal RNA is filed under the name uncultured bacterium. RNAcentral's name for it is "partial 16S ribosomal RNA". It matches the Rfam family "Bacterial small subunit ribosomal RNA", at positions 29 to 507 of the family's 1533-position model. The record is from RNAcentral.
AACGAACGCUGGCGGCAUGCCUAACACAUGCAAGUCGAACGAGACCUUCGGGUCUAGUGGCGCACGGGUGCGUAACGCGUGGGAACCUGCCCUUAGGUUCGGCAUAACUCCCCGAAAGGGGUGCUAAUACCGGAUAAUGUCUUCGGACCAAAGAUUUAUCGCCUUUGGAUGGGCCCGCGUUGGAUUAGCUAGUUGGUAGGGUAAAAGCCUACCAAGGCGACGAUCCAUAGCUGGUCUGAGAGGAUGAUCAGCCACACUGGGACUGGGACACGGCCCAGACUCCUACGGGAGGCAGCAGUGGGGAAUAUUGGACAAUGGGCGAAAGCCUGAUCCAGCAAUGCCGCGUGAGUGAUGAAGGCCUUAGGGUUGUAAAGCUCUUUUACCCGGGAUGAUAAUGACAGUACCGGGAGAAUAAGCUCCGGCUAACUCCGUG